GAAAUGCGAUAAGUAAUGUGAAUUGCAGAAUUCAGUGAAUCAUCGAAUCUUUGAAUGCACCUUUCGCUCCUUGGUAUUCCUUGGAGCAUGCCUGUUUGAGUAUCAUGAAAUCUUCAAAGUAAAUCUUUUGUUAACUCAAUUGGUUUCUACUUUGGUAUUGGAGGUCUUUGCAGCUUCACACCUGCUCCUCUUUGUUCAUUAGCUGGAUCUCAGUGUUAUGCUUGGUUCCACUCGGCGUGAUAAGUUAUCUAUCGCUGAGGACACUGUAAAAGGUGGCCAAGGUAAAUGCAGAUGAACCGCUUCUAAUAGUCCAUUGACUUGGACAAUACUUUUAUGAUCUGAUCUCAAAUCAGGUAGGACUACCCGCUGAACUUAAGC
RNAcentral lists this unclassified non-coding RNA (378 nucleotides) under plant metagenome. RNAcentral's name for it is "partial contains 5.8S ribosomal RNA, internal transcribed spacer 2, and large subunit ribosomal RNA". The stretch from base 1 to 105 matches the Rfam family "5.8S ribosomal RNA", at positions 50 to 154 of the family's 154-position model. The record is from RNAcentral.